AUUGCAUAAUGCAGUAGCCACUGGAUUUGCAGCAGAAACACUCUGCUACAGAACAAGUGUCUUGGUUCACAGCAAAGAGGACAAAGAAAACAGCAAGUUUUAGGGGGUUGAAUCCUGGAUUCCCCUGGCAAACACCAUUCUACUUUCCGUCUCUAUGAAUUUGACUACUCGAAGUACCUCAUGUGAAAUGUUGGUGCCAAAUGAACUUUUCUGGUUCUUCUGAAUAUGCCACUGUUGCUGGAGAAAUGUCACUGCUAGAGAACAGAAGACUAUUAUUCCAAAGGGUAUUUGAGACUGACUGAAUCAGGUCUGGAACAUUAUUGAAAUGAGACCCACAAAAGAAGAGAUACUGAGAGGAUGAAGAGAUCCUCCUAGCUUGGCGGAAUACUCUGCUCUGAUGGAAGUACCAUCCUGGUCCAAACAUGAAAGAAUUCCCAACAUCAAGAUUGAUUGAAACAUAUUCAAUGGUGUAACUGGAUCUUGGUUCAUGCUGAGCUUAAAAUUUGAUCUUCUGAAUAUCAGCAGAAAGACUCUUUCUGGUGAAUACAGAUCUUCUGAGCAAUUAUCGACUGACUUUGUCAUUAGACUGCCCUUUCAGAAGGUACAAAAAAAGAAAAAGAAAAUUACUACUGUGAAGUGAAGUCUGAGCAACUGGGAAGAAAUGCAAGGUGAAAUGAAAUGGUGAAGGUAAAUGAACGGGAAGAACCUGGGGAGAUGGUAACCACGUUAAUCAUAGUAAACUGGGAUGAAAAGACAGAGAAUAACACAAUAUAGAGACUUUUUUAAUUAUUAGAGGAAAAGAUAGGUCCAAUAGCAUGACUAGAGGCUUUGAAAAGUAAAGACAGCUCAAAAGGAACAAAAUUCUCAAAGCAUUGUAAUUGUACAAUCCUAGCUCACCUUCAUGAGAGGAAAGUUUAAGAAACAGGCAGCAGGAGGGGGCUUGCUGUCUAUUUUUAGAAAGAUUUUGGCCAAAAAAGGAAGUGUUAGCACAAAAAGAAGAGUCAAUUUUUACAGACACAUGAGGGGUAGUGUUUUCCAAAAAGACCGAAACGUGGCACAAUUGUAUUCACCUUUGUAACUCCAGCACCCACUAUAAGGGCAAGGCCCCCCAAAUGUCUUCCAUUGAUUUUGUCAUUUGGAGAAUUUGCUCCCAGGUUCAUAUGAGAAGGUACGGC
Long non-coding RNA from Homo sapiens (human), 1175 nucleotides. Ensembl annotates it as STXBP5 antisense RNA 1. Its record names the gene STXBP5-AS1. NCBI's taxonomy places the organism in Eukaryota, Metazoa, Chordata, Mammalia, Primates, Hominidae. The record is from Ensembl.